UAAUACUUCCACAAACUGUAAAGACAUAAUUAAUAUAAAAUUCAUAAAACAUGUCAUAACUUAAUUUUAACCUUUUAUUUUUAUAUAUAUUUUGGAAAAAUAAAAGAAAAAAUCUAAAAAAACAUGUAUUUUCAAUAAUUUUAAUUAACUUUAAUCAUUUCGUUAUUUUCUUCAUUUUCUUGAAACCAUAACCACUUUCCCUGCCCAGAUCAGCAGCUCACGAUCCCGUUCCCAACCACAAUCCAGCCUCUUCCAUCUCAAUUCAUAAUUGCCCAUAAAAAUCCCAAACAUCUCUUCCACUAAGAAAACUCCAAUAACAGACCCCUCCACUCUCCCCGUGAACUGACCCAAGAACUACCAUCUCAGAUUCCACCUGUGACAGCCCUGCACCAUCCACCAACGAAUGUUGAAUCAACACAGCCCCUUCUUCCUCUCGGCCGGCAGCGGUGCCACCUCCUCCAUGGCACCAGAAGUGGUAGCCCCUGGCCAAAUACUCCUCAACUACCACCAUCAGUCAGCCCUAUCAUCAUCACCAGCAGCCCCUCUUUCUCCACAUAACCCAACUGUUAACCCUCCUCCUCACAGCUGAGACUGCCACAAUAAAAAACUCCAGCCCACACCACACCUACGGUGUCCCCCACUGCAACCAACCACCACGAAGGAAACCCGCCGUUCCAGUCAUCAUCGCUAACCUUUUUGCUCUCAAAUCCAGCACCAUCAAAAUACCAAAACACACAUCGAUAUUUUCAUCUCUCUGACCGAAACCACAACUGCCACCCACCGAAACCACAACUCAACAGUGACCACCACUUCUACCUCGCAACUGAGGGAAGGAGAAAACAAAAACAAAUCUAUUUGAUUAUUCAGUCUGUUGUUUUUGCUUGCAGGUGCGCUUUAACUAACGCAUGGUGAAGCCACGCGCACGCCAUUUCCAAUUCAGUAAACUGACUAGCGCGUGAUAGGCACGGGAACCACGUGGUCCACGUUAUUUUUCAGCAUUUUCUAGAGUUUUUCCACCCCGGAAAUCAAUUUUGAAC
This 1037-nucleotide long non-coding RNA is filed under the name Populus trichocarpa (black cottonwood). RNAcentral's name for it is "long non-coding RNA (PTRI_LNC001858)". The record is from RNAcentral. Lineage: Eukaryota; Viridiplantae; Streptophyta; Magnoliopsida; Malpighiales; Salicaceae.